GAGGUACAGCAGAUUAGAUGAGGAGGCACUUCUACACUAGGGAUGGAAAAUUAAUGGUACCUGUGAUGGUUAAUGUUAGGUGUCAACCUGGCCAGGCUAGGCUAGGCUGUGCAGAGAACCCUGACUGGCACACUGCCCGCACCACCAACUGCUCUCUCGGGCCCAGGGUGGCGAUGGGUUGUAGCCGCUGCCGAUGCUCUUUCCUUCUGGUGCCAGAUGCAGCUUCAGUAUCAUCUGCAAGUUGGGGGGACCGUGAUGAUUGGAGUCAGCACUUGAGAGGAAACGUGCUUGCUGUUCCAAUUCUAGUGGAUAUUCUUCGUGGAUGUUGACUAAUAAAAC
RNAcentral lists this long non-coding RNA (339 nucleotides) under Homo sapiens (human). RNAcentral's name for it is "non-protein coding lnc-ACTR3B-4:1". Lineage: Eukaryota; Metazoa; Chordata; Mammalia; Primates; Hominidae. The record is from RNAcentral.